This 323-nucleotide ribosomal RNA is filed under the name Cercomonas sp. RNAcentral describes it as "SSU rRNA". The stretch from base 108 to 323 matches the Rfam family "Eukaryotic small subunit ribosomal RNA", at positions 738 to 955 of the family's 1831-position model. RNAcentral also lists the same sequence under 1 other name. Lineage: Eukaryota; Cercozoa; Cercomonadida; Cercomonadidae. The record is from RNAcentral.
GAUUUCUGGUUCGGCGUACUUGGCCCGUCCCGGUCUUCGGGAUUGUGUGCCGGUGUGCGCCAUCCAUCCUUCGAGAAAACACUUCUACCCUUCACGGGGCCGGGAGUGCUAUCUCGAUCUUUUACUUUGAAAAAAUUAGAGUGUUUAAAGCAGGCUUGCGCUAUGAAUACAUUAGCAUGGAAUAAUAAUUUAGGACUUUGGUCUUAUUUUGUUGGUUUCUAGGACUAAAGUAAUGAUUGAUAGGGACAGUUGGGGGUGCUAGUAUUCAGCGGCCAGAGGUGAAAUUCUUGGAUUCGCUGAAGACUAACUUAUGCGAAAGCAUU